GCGUGAAUGGUUUAGUGGUAAAAUUCUCCGUUGCCAUCGGGGAGCCCUGGAUUCGAUUCCCAGUUCACGCA
RNAcentral lists this transfer RNA (71 nucleotides) under Verticillium longisporum. RNAcentral's name for it is "Verticillium dahliae var. longisporum tRNA". It matches the Rfam family "tRNA". From Rfam's summary of the family: Transfer RNA (tRNA) molecules are approximately 80 nucleotides in length. Their secondary structure includes four short double-helical elements and three loops (D, anti-codon, and T loops). The record is from Rfam by way of RNAcentral. Lineage: Eukaryota; Fungi; Ascomycota; Sordariomycetes; Glomerellales; Plectosphaerellaceae.